CCCCUAGAUGUUCUGGGCCGCACGCGCGCUACACUGAACAGUUCAACAAGUCUUAACCUUGGCCGAUAGGUCUGGGUAAUCUUUGAACGCUGUUCGUGACUGGGAUAGACCUUUGCAAUUAUGGGUCUUCAACGAGGAAUUCCUAGUAAACGCAAGUCAUCAGCUUGCAUUGAUUACGUCCCUGCCCUUUGUACACGCCGCCCGUCGCACCUACCGAUUGAAUGGUCCGGUGAAAUCUCGGGACGGCGGCUUGGUCGCUUGCGUCCGACUGCUGAAACUUGAUUAAACCAUAUCAUUUAGAGGAAGGUGAAGUCGUAACA
RNAcentral lists this ribosomal RNA (320 nucleotides) under uncultured eukaryote. RNAcentral describes it as "partial 18S ribosomal RNA". It matches the Rfam family "Eukaryotic small subunit ribosomal RNA", at positions 1470 to 1796 of the family's 1831-position model. The record is from RNAcentral.